AGCAGAUGCUUUUCUUUGAAAAGGUUUCAAUCUUUGUUCUCCAGCAGCCAACCCACUUGCAAAGAGUAUUUCCAAGGCUUGUUAUGCACAUGCAAGAUCCCGGCAACACUACAGAACUCACUGAAGAUGUGAAUGGUAUGGAAUCACUUCCCCAGCAGACUGAUCCUGCCUCCAUAAACUUGCCAUUAAAGGAAAUCCUUUCAGGAAUUUCAUCUGUUCUGGGAGACACAACCAUUGAUGGAAAGAACAUAAAGGAUUUCUACUGUACGAUCCACACAUAAAAAGAUCUAUAGAGUUAUCUACACUGCUAGGGUAUGUGCCCUUUCUACUUAUUUCAGCUAAUCAUCUCCAAGCAAGAAUGCAAAAAUCCCAGGAUCAGGAAAGCACACAGGCUGACUCCAAACACUGCUGGUUCCAGCACACAGCUACAGAGAAGGCAACUUGUGCCCUGCAACUCGUGCUUCUUGAACAACCUACAUCUUCUAUGCAGCCACUGAUUAUAGAAUAAAUAUAUCAAAGGGAACA
RNAcentral lists this long non-coding RNA (525 nucleotides) under Parus major (Great Tit). RNAcentral's name for it is "lncRNA (ENSPMJG00000003869.1)". Lineage: Eukaryota; Metazoa; Chordata; Aves; Passeriformes; Paridae. The record is from RNAcentral.